RNAcentral lists this ribosomal RNA (502 nucleotides) under uncultured Glomus. RNAcentral's name for it is "SSU rRNA". It matches the Rfam family "Eukaryotic small subunit ribosomal RNA", at positions 569 to 1075 of the family's 1831-position model. The record is from RNAcentral. Lineage: Eukaryota; Fungi; Glomeromycota; Glomeromycetes; Glomerales; Glomeraceae.
AGCAGCCGCGGUAAUUCCAGCUCCAAUAGCGUAUAUUAAAGUUGUUGCAGUUAAAAAGCUCGUAGUUGAAUUUCGGGAUCAGUACGCUGGUCGUGCCUUUGGUAUGUACUGGUGUCACUGAUUCCUCCCUUCUGAAGAACCGUUAUGCCAUUUAUUUGGUGUGGCGGGAAAUCAGGACUGUUACUUUGAAAAAAUUAGAGUGUUUAAAGCAGGCUCGCGCUUGAAUACAUUAGCAUGGAAUAAUGAAAUAGGACGUUUGAUCUUAUUUUGUUGGUUUCUAGGAUCGACGUAAUGAUUAAUAGGGAUAGUUGGGGGCAUUAGUAUUCAAUUGUCAGAGGUGAAAUUCUUGGAUUUAUUGAAGACUAACUACUGCGAAAGCAUUUGCCAAGGAUGUUUUCAUUAAUCAAGAACGAAAGUUAGGGGAUCGAAGACGAUCAGAUACCGUCGUAGUCUUAACCAUAAACUAUGCCGACUAGGGAUCGGAUGAUGUAAUUUUUAAUGA